This 84-nucleotide transfer RNA is filed under the name Azospirillum picis. RNAcentral's name for it is "tRNA-Lys". The stretch from base 11 to 81 matches the Rfam family "tRNA". From Rfam's summary of the family: Transfer RNA (tRNA) molecules are approximately 80 nucleotides in length. Their secondary structure includes four short double-helical elements and three loops (D, anti-codon, and T loops). Further hydrogen bonds mediate the characteristic L-shaped molecular structure. tRNAs have two regions of fundamental functional importance: the anti-codon, which is responsible for specific mRNA codon recognition, and the 3' end, to which the tRNAs corresponding amino acid is attached (by aminoacyl-tRNA synthetases). tRNAs cope with the degeneracy of the genetic code in two manners: having more than one tRNA (with a specific anti-codon) for a particular amino acid; and 'wobble' base-pairing, i.e. permitting non-standard base-pairing at the 3rd anti-codon position. Lineage: Bacteria; Pseudomonadati; Pseudomonadota; Alphaproteobacteria; Rhodospirillales; Azospirillaceae. The record is from RNAcentral.
GUGAUGUCUGGUUAUGGUAAGUAUCACCAGCGUAUAUGACUUUUAAUCAUGUGGCCGUGGGUUCGAAUCCCACCCGGAUCACCA